RNAcentral lists this long non-coding RNA (3149 nucleotides) under Equus caballus (horse). RNAcentral describes it as "lncRNA (ENSECAG00000056212.1)". The record is from RNAcentral. Lineage: Eukaryota; Metazoa; Chordata; Mammalia; Perissodactyla; Equidae.
AUUUGUAUGGUGAUGGAUAAAAACUAGACUGUUGGUGGUGAACACAAUGCAGUCUAUACAGCAACUGAAAUAUGAUAGUGUACACCUGAAAUUUACACAAUGUUAUAAGCCAGUAUGACUUCAAUGAAAUAAUAUUUUUUAAAUGCAAAAUUAAAAAAAUGGAAUAGGGAGGUUUUUCUUUUUCUUUCUAUCAUGUUUGAAGGGUGAGAGAAGAAGCCAGUGAAGAGGGAGGAUUGAAAAAGACAUGGUAAGGGGCCGACUCGGUGGCAUAGUGUUUGGGUUCGUGCUUCAGCAGCUCAGGUUCCUGGUUCAGAUCCUGAGUGUGGGCCUACACACUGCUCAUCAAGCCACGCUGUGGCAGUGUCCUACAUACAAAAUAGUGAAAGAUUGGCACAGAUGUUGGCUCAGGGACAAUCUUUCUCAAGCAAUAAGAGGAAGAUUGGCAAGAGAUCUUAGCUCAGGGCCACUCUUCCUCACCGGAAAAAAAACAAAAAAAACCCCAGAGAAGCAGGAGAGACUAAAACCUAGAUGAAAGAAAGAGAAGGCUUAGGAAGGGGCAAGGGGAUGAAAGUAAGUCUAAAUGCUUUUAAAUGGUCAUAUGAAUAGUUUCUAAACUUCUUCACACAGAAAAACUCAUGACUUGCCUUGUAAGGAAGAUCUCUUGUGUAGUGUAUAUAGCUAGAACUAUUUUGGUACUCUAAUCCUGGAAUAUUAUAGUAUUGGAUUUGUGCAAUGUACUGUAUGUUUGUGUCUCCCCCCCCCCCCAAAAUCAUAUGUUGAAAUCCUAACCCCCAAUGUGAUGAUAUUAGGAGGUGGGAUCUUUGGGAGUUCAUUAGGUCAUGAGAGUGGAGCCCUCAUAAAUAUAAUGAGUGCCCUUACAGACCGCAGAGAGCUCUCUCUCCCACUCUUUCCACCAUGUGAGGAUACAACGAAAAGUCAGCAGUCUGCAACCUGGAAGAGGGCCUUCAGCGGAACCCAACCAUGCUGCUACCUUGAUCUCAGACUUCCAGCCUUCAGAACUCUAUUCCAUCUUCUCCACUAUAGCCUGCUAUACAGUUUUUGUUUUUUUCCUUUCUAUAAGAAAACUAUCAACCAAUCUCACUUACAGAUGCAAAACUCCCUACUGGCAGGGCAGUUUGGAGGCCAAGCGAGUGUCUUUUCAGCGCUGAGAUCUGGCACAGAGGCGGCGGUGGUUCCCAGGCCUUUGAGUGGAUUGACUUGAGCCUACGGGCCAACACGCUCCAGGCUAGACAGAUAGGACCACCCUGGACUUCUUGUUGGCUUUCUAGCCACCAUGGAGGAUGAAUCUAUGAGCCCCCAGACCUGACUCUGGAGGAGCGGAUGGAGCUGGAGAAUGUGCGGCCACGGAAGCAGGAGCUGCUGGUGGAGAUCCAGCACCUGCAGGAGGAGCUCAGCGAAGCCCUGAGCCAGGUGGAGUCUGGAGGCCAAUGAAGGCAGUAGAACCUGGCAACGGGCAACGGGCAAUGGGCAGGAAGAACUUCAACAUGGACCCCAAGAAGGGGAUCCACUUCUUGCUGGAUAAUGAACUUCUCCAGAAGAUACCCAACGAGCUUGCCCCUUUCCUUUACAACGGCAAGGGCCUGAACAAGACAGCCUUGGGGAUUACGUAGGGGAGAGGGAAGAGCUGAACCUGGCAAUGCUCCACGAUUUUGUGAAUCUGCGUGAGUUUACCGACCUCAAUUUGGUGCAGGCCCUCAGGCAAUUUCUAUGGAGCUUCCCGCCUCCCUGGAGAGGCCCAGGAGAUUGACUGGAUGAUAGAAGCCUUCGCCCAGCCAUACUGUCUGUGCAGCCCUGGGGUUUUCCAGUCCACAAGCAUGUCCUACGUGCUGUCUUUCACCAUGAUCAUGCUGAGCACCACCAGCCUUUACAAUCCCAACGUCUGGGACAAGCUGGGCCUGGAGCACUUUGUGGCCAUGAACCAGGGCAAUCAACAAGGGCAGGACCAGCUUGAGGAGCUGCUCAGGAACCUCUAGGACAGAACCUGAAAUGAGCCCUUCCAGAUUCCUGAGGAUGAUGGAAAUGAUCCGACCCACAGCUUCUUUAACCCAGACCGGGAAGGCUGGCUCCUUAAGCUGGGAGGGCUCUGCGUGAAGACAUGGAAGCUGCUCUGGGUUAUCCUUACCCACAACUGCCUCUACUAUUUUGAGUGCAUGAUGGACAAGGAGCCAGAGGAAUCAUACUCCUGGAGAAUCUGAGCAGCCUAGAGCUGGAUGACCCCCAGAAACCUUCCUGCUUUGAGCUUUACAUUCCCCAAAACGAGGGAUAGCUCAUCAAAGCCAGGAAAAUGGAGGCAGAUGGCUGGGUGGUUGAGGAGAACCACAUGGUGUACAGGUCUCAGCCCCAUAGGAGGAGAAGGACAAAUGGAGCAAGUCCAUCCAGGCAGCAGUGACUGUGGACCCCAUCUAUGAGAUGCUGGUGGCAAGGGAGAAGGGGAUUUCUGUCAAGAAGCAGCAGGAACAGCCCUGGCCCCUUGCCCCCAACUCCGUUUAUUUACAGGUGGCUGGACCCCUGGGCCCUUCCAUUGUGUAUCGUGGUUCCCCAUUUGGAAAAUUCACCACCUCUAGCAUCUCUCUCGUUAUUUGUAAUCAACACGCUGUUGAUAAUCUUAUCAAUUAUUUAACCACUAAAAAAAGAAGAAAGAGAGGGGCUGGCCCCGUGGCCGAGUGGUUAAGUUCGCGCGCUCCGCUGCAGGCGGCCCAGUGUUUCGUUGGUUCGAAUCCUGGGCGCGGACAUGGCACUGCUCAUCAAACCACGCUGAGGCAGCGUCCCACAUGCCACAACUAGAAGGACCCACAACGAAGAAUAUACAACUAUGUACCGGGGGGCUUUGGGGAGAAAAAAGGAAAAAAUAAAAUCUUUAAAAAAAAAAAAAAAAGAAGAAAGAGAGAGAAUUCCUACUUGGUGGGGCUAUUAUUCUAAAUAAAACAUUAGGGGCGAGCCUGGUGGCAUAGUGGUUAAGUUCCCGAGCUCUGCUUCAGCAGCCCCGUGUUUACCACAGGGAUCCUGGGCUCGGACGUACACACUGCUCAUCAACCCAUGCUGUGGCCACACCCCACAUACAAAAUAGAGGAAGAUUGGCACAGAUUUUAGCUUAGGGCCAAUCUUCCUCACCAAAAAAAUAAAAUAAG